CACUUUAUUAAGAAAAAUAAGCAGUAUAUUACUUAAAAUUUACUCUAGAUUUAAUCUUGAUUUUAUUUCACACCUUUGCUUCACAAGGAAUUUUAAUAAGGUGAAAAGUUGAAAACUAUUGAAGAAUCUGAACAUUUUUCAACCAUGCCUGGAAACUGUAACAAAAUCUUGCUACCCUGGUGCCAAAAACAGUUUACAGUAAGGAAAGAUUAGAUUAGUCCUAAAGGACUUACUGCUUCUAAAAAAAACUGGCAGACAUCAAUUUUUGGCUGACUUGAGGAAAGCACAUAUGGGAUCCAAGGAAUUCCAGGAGUGAGCAAUCUCAGAAAUGUUUGGAUUCAGAGUCUUCCCUACAGUUAUUCAUCUUAGAGUUGAAAAAUUCAUAAAGUAAGUAAUACCAUCCCUGACUAUCAAUGAGGUAGCACCUUCCACCUCAAGGCCUGCUCAAUGUUAACAUUCUACAGGUCACAUACCAAAUACUAGCAGAGGAGCUGAGGGCAGGGGAGAGGAAAGAGGAACUUCAAACAAAGUGACAAAAGUAUACAAACCAUCACGAACAAAGCUUUUCUGGAUAUUUCAAC
RNAcentral lists this long non-coding RNA (581 nucleotides) under Bos taurus (domestic cattle). RNAcentral's name for it is "long non-coding RNA NONBTAT015222". Lineage: Eukaryota; Metazoa; Chordata; Mammalia; Artiodactyla; Bovidae. The record is from RNAcentral.